RNAcentral lists this ribosomal RNA (599 nucleotides) under Tuber fulgens. Its description in RNAcentral is "eukaryotic LSU rRNA". The stretch from base 231 to 384 matches the Rfam family "5.8S ribosomal RNA". Lineage: Eukaryota; Fungi; Ascomycota; Pezizomycetes; Pezizales; Tuberaceae. The record is from RNAcentral.
AAGGAUCAUUAAUGAAUCGUCGGGACCUCCAACAUAGGUCCCCGAGAUCAAACYUCCCCGAGUACCCAUCCAUGUUGCUUCCCUAGGCCAGCAGCCAUUGCUGCCCGUCCGACCCUGCCCGGUCACAGGACGGAGGUGCCUGGGGAGGGGCCCAAACCAAAAAGGAAACUAUGGUGCACACAGGCUGUCUGAGUUGGUGGGCCACGUGUCCAGUGAAUUGAGCAAGUUAAAACUUUCAACAACGGAUCUCUUGGCUCUCGCAUCGAUGAAGAACGCAGCGAAACGCGAUAAGUAAUGUGAAUUGCAGAAUUCAGUGAAUCAUCGAAUCUUUGAACGCACAUUGCGCCCUUUGGCAUUCCUUAGGGCAUGCCUGUUCGAGCGUCACUAGCAACCUCCUCACGGAUCCCGUGGUAAUGGCGGAAGCUUUCGCUGUUGUCCCUUGGACAGCGGUGCAGCUCCGCUGAAAUGAAUAAGCAGGACAAAAACAGGCCCCGGCGAGCGACUUAGUAAGUGUCGUGAAGACGUAGACCAGUCAGCAGCCCAGGCCUUGCCCUGCCCACCCAGAUCUCCCCCGUCUGGCGUGCUCUCUUGGWUGACCU